GCGUGGGUCGGCCCACUGCGAUGGAACCAGUGGGCUGGGGGACACUGCCGCCUCAUUCCCCGCAGGCGGUGGACCGGUCCGGGAGGCGUCGGAACGCCUCCCGGACCGUG
Molecule: non-coding RNA, 110 nt
Filed under: Streptomyces sp. CB01580
Lineage: Bacteria; Bacillati; Actinomycetota; Actinomycetes; Kitasatosporales; Streptomycetaceae
Description: Streptomyces RNA 4115
Rfam family: Streptomyces RNA 4115
About the family: Identified by deep sequencing of transcriptome at the end of exponential growth phase. Sequencing size consistent with notrthern blot size.
Source: Rfam by way of RNAcentral